RNAcentral lists this unclassified non-coding RNA (280 nucleotides) under Hevea brasiliensis (rubber tree). The record is from RNAcentral. Lineage: Eukaryota; Viridiplantae; Streptophyta; Magnoliopsida; Malpighiales; Euphorbiaceae.
GGUAAGUUCCUAUAUCAUUCCAGAUUCUGUCCAAGGCAUAGAGAUCGCACACGAGUUUUAGGGCAGCACGAGAGUUUUCAUCAGGACAAUUUUUAACUGCUUCAAUGAACUUUUCAAGAAUGAACGAUUCGAUAUGAGACUCUGCAAGUGUCAACAGGUGAUUUAAACAUCUAUUCCAAGCACCAAAUCCUCCAAGAGUCUUGGAGUGCUUCUGAAGCCGGAUAGCUACACUUUGAAGCAACCUUGAUGUCCGAUACCUAAAAGCAUCCAACUGGAAGUU